GGCACAGGAAAAAAGCACCACCGAUGUGCUCUGCUUCUAGCAUCAAAAUCAGUAUCAUGCCUGCCGUCAGUUCGAAAACUUAAUUUGAUUUAACGAUGAAAUCAACAAAAUUUGCUCUCUUCUGCAUAAUUCUGUGUUUUCUCGCUCAAUCAGACACAAAGAAAGGAUCCACCAAGAAAUUAGCUGUUGACCGGAACUCUUCCACAGGAAUCAAAACUAAAGGAAAAAUUAUCAGUGUAACCGCCCCUUUGGACCGAAAAAUCAUCAUUAAAACGACCUCAACACGGAGAUCUUACAUAAUUAAAUGCUGUGGCCACAAGAAAUGCUUGAAAUCAAAUAAAAACAGGCAAGUAUAAUUUAAAUUAUUUAAAAUAUUAAAUUGAAGUUAUGACUUCUUCCAGAAAUGGCACAUCAAAACAGAAAAGUGAGAAUUUAAAUUGUUAUAAUUUUCCGAAU
Molecule: long non-coding RNA, 456 nt
Organism: Cloeon dipterum
Lineage: Eukaryota; Metazoa; Arthropoda; Insecta; Ephemeroptera; Baetidae
Exons: 4
Source: RefSeq, a predicted model, not a curated record